Molecule: ribosomal RNA, 504 nt
Filed under: uncultured bacterium
Lineage: Bacteria
Description: bacterial SSU rRNA
Rfam family: Bacterial small subunit ribosomal RNA
Source: RNAcentral
AGAGUUUGAUCCUGGCUCAGAUUGAACGCUGGCGGAAUGCUUUACACAUGCAAGUCGAGCGGCAGCGCGGGGGGCAACCCUGGCGGCGAGCGGCGAACGGGUGAGUAACAUAUCGGAACGUACCCCGUCUGGGGGAUAACACAGCGAAAGCUGUGCUAAUACCGCAUACGACCUGAGGGUGAAAGCGGGGGAUCGCAAGACCUCGCGCGAUGGGAGCGGCCGAUAUCGGAUUAGCUUGUUGGUGAGGUAAAGGCUCACCAAGGCGACGAUCCGUAGCUGGUCUGAGAGGACGACCAGCCACACUGGAACUGAGACACGGUCCAGACUCCUACGGGAGGCAGCAGUGGGGAAUUUUGGACAAUGGGCGAAAGCCUGAUCCAGCCAUGCCGCGUGAGUGAAGAAGGCCUUCGGGUUGUAAAGCUCUUUCGGUGGGGAAGAAAUUGCAUAGGCUAAUACCCUAUGUAGAUGACGGUACCUGGAGAAGAAGCACCGGCUAACUACGUG